Long non-coding RNA from Trachemys scripta elegans, 722 nucleotides. RefSeq lists it as uncharacterized. NCBI's taxonomy places the organism in Eukaryota, Metazoa, Chordata, Testudines, Emydidae. The record is from RefSeq and is a predicted model, not a curated record. The transcript has 3 exons.
CAUGGGCAGCAGGUAAUGGAUGCUGGGGAAGGAUAAGCCUCCCCAAACCUCCACUAAUGCUCCGCGCUGUAACCCCAGGGCCAGGCCGAGAUGGGGCUCAGAGCUCCUCUGGGUGACCCCCAGGGCUCAGGGCUCGGCCCCAGCCAGCUGGCUGGGACUCUGGGCCCCUCUGGACUGCUCCGGGCACUGGCGAGCUGGCCUGGGUUCAGGACUGCACCGGAAGGCCAGGCAAUCAGGAAUGAAGCACUGAAUAGAACUGACCCCCGCUGCACCCCAGUAGACAUCUUUUCACUCAUCCCAAAUCUACGCAUUUCUUCCUUUAGGACUUUAAGCCAAUCCACAAGACACUGCUCACAGCCCAGCCACUUUGACGCCGCAUCUCAUGAAAGUCUCCCUCUCUAAAUUAAUUCAUGUCCUAAAAUCUAAAUGUAUGCUGGCUAUUGCAGCCCCUUCAGCCACUGGCUUUGCAAGCCUGUCCAAAAAAGCAAUCAAAUUUGUCUGGAAAAAGUUAUUCUUUGCAAGCCUGAGCUACUGAUUAGUCAUGGUUCUGGUGCCCAGUAGGUGAGGGAAGAGAGAGUCCUUUGUGCCAAAGAGCAGCUGGGCGACAGGGGACCACCCCCCACCCUCCGCACAGCCUCUGCAGAUAUCAGCUUCAAGCGCAGAAUAGUGGAGUGACACACACUGCCUGACUGGAAGGGUAGUGAUCUGGAUCGACAGCCCAC